GCUCUAGGCAGCCACAAAGAGGAGGAAUUCUUGAGUUUUCACAAGCUCAAUAAGUUGAGCAAAGAGGUUAGUGCAACUAUAAACAUAAAACUUUUAAAUUUCAUGAUUUUGGACUUGAAAUUUAGUGAGACUUGUAAUUUAAAUGAAUAAAAACCUAUGUGUAUGAGCUCUUGAAUGUUGGCUGCCCUAGAAAAGGAAUAUGUAGGAGUGUUUUGAUGAGCUUGAAGUGAGCUAGAAUCAUGUUAGAAGUUUAUAAACACAAGCAUAAUGAAUUAAAAGCUAACUAAAGUAAAUUGUAUAAAACAUGGAAUUGAAUUAGGGUUUAGGAAAGGUGAAAAUUGAUUUGGCUUAGGGAAUUGUUAGGGCACAUUGUAAUGGUCAAUUAGUGAC
RNAcentral lists this unclassified non-coding RNA (390 nucleotides) under Hevea brasiliensis (rubber tree). Lineage: Eukaryota; Viridiplantae; Streptophyta; Magnoliopsida; Malpighiales; Euphorbiaceae. The record is from RNAcentral.